GAUGAAGAACGUAGCGAAAUGCGAUACGUAAUGUGAAUUGCAGAAUUCAGUGAAUCAUCGAAUCUUUGAACGCAUAUUGCGCUCUCUGGUAUUCCGGAGAGCAUGCUUGUUUGAGUAUCAGUAAACACCUCAACUUCCAUAUCUUUUUUGAAAUGGGAGUUGGACUUGAGUGAUCCCAACGCUUUUCCUCACCGAAAAGUGGCGGGUUACUUGAAAUGCAGGUGCAGCUGGACUUUUCGCUGAGCUAUAAGCAUAUCUAUUUAGUCUGCCUAAAAAACAGAUUAUUACCUUUGCUGCAGCUAACAUAAAGGAGAUUAGUUCUUGUGCUGACUGAUGCAGGAUUCACAAAGACAGGCUUCGGCCGACUUUGUAAACUCGAUCUCAAAUCAAGUAAGACUACCCGCUGAACUUAAGCAUAUCAAUAAGCGGAGGA
This 433-nucleotide unclassified non-coding RNA is filed under the name soil metagenome. RNAcentral describes it as "partial contains 5.8S ribosomal RNA, internal transcribed spacer 2, and large subunit ribosomal RNA". The stretch from base 1 to 120 matches the Rfam family "5.8S ribosomal RNA", at positions 35 to 154 of the family's 154-position model. The record is from RNAcentral.